UCUGGUGGUUAUAGAGAGAGGGAAACACCUGUUCCCAUUCCGAACACAGCAGUUAAGCCUCUCAUCGCCAAUGGUACUGCAUGGGUAACUGUGUGGGAGAGUAGGACGCUGCCAGGA
Molecule: ribosomal RNA, 117 nt
Filed under: Spirochaetota bacterium
Lineage: Bacteria; Pseudomonadati; Spirochaetota
Source: RNAcentral